This is a long non-coding RNA of Anguilla rostrata (American eel), 815 nucleotides long. RefSeq lists it as uncharacterized. The transcript has 3 exons. Lineage: Eukaryota; Metazoa; Chordata; Actinopteri; Anguilliformes; Anguillidae. The record is from RefSeq and is a predicted model, not a curated record.
GGCCACACCUUUGUCUCCAGAGAGAAUAUAAGGCCAGGUGCACAGAGAGAGGGGCAUUCAGAACACCUCUGAUCUUCAGCUCUACACCAGCCUGAGACGUCCACCUGUGACCACACCCAGCCACCUACCUGAGCAGGGCAUUCAGACCUCUGAUCCUCAGCUCUACACCAGCCUGAGACCUCCACCUGUGACCACACCCAGCCACCUACCUGAGCAGCAGCAGAGAUGGGGAACACCAUGCAUGUGUCCAAUGAGACGGCAAGGCUCCUGCGCAUCUACUACAGCAAGACCCCGAUUCUAUGGAAACCCUUGACUAUGCGAAACUCAUCCGGAGGCUUGAUGGCCAAAGAAAGUUCUUGUAUCAAAUUUGUGCGGAUCCCUCCCAAAUUUUACGUCAGCUGUUCCUCGGAUCAGCCAAUGUAUGUCGUAGUGUAUCACAAGGACACUAAGUAUAUUGUAGAUGUCACCUACAUUGACUCUGACCACUCUGUUGUUUUCAGUGAUACAGGGAAAUGCAUGCUCUCAAAUGCCGGUAAAAUUUCAGUGGAUUAGCCUGAAAGACACAGCCAGUGUUACCAUGCUGUACCACACUGUGCAAAAACUGAAGAUCUUUCAGUGGCUGAAAGACUUCCACUUAUAUCACAGCGGACUUGCAUUUGGUGGAUGGUGUUCAAAUAUCUGUAAACCUUUCAUCUUUUUUUGUUCUGCUGCUUAAUAAACUGAAGCAAUCACAAAACCAUCUUGUUUUUCUCAUGUUCAUUUCACAGUCCUGACCUGCCUUCAGUAAGGAAAUCUGGAGAAAGCUUUGUUCCAUU